GGGGGGGGGGGGGGGGGGGGGGGGGGGGGGGGGGGGGGGGGGGGGGGGGGUGGGGGGGUGGGGUGGGGGGGUGGGGAGGGGGGGGGGAGCGCGGGGGUAAGCGGCGGUGGGGUUUGGGGUAACUUCGGGGGGGUGGGGCUAAUACGGGGGAGGUGCUCAUGCUGCAUGGUGGUGGUUGGAAAGGUUCGGCGGUUGGGGAUGGACUCGCGGCUUAUCAGCUUGUUGGUGUGGUAGUGGCUUACCAAGGCCUUGACGGGUAGCCGGCCUGAGAGGGUGACCGGCCACAUUGGGACUGAGAUACGGCCCAGACUCCUACGGGAGGCAGCAGUUGGGAAUAUUGCACAAUGGGCGGAAGCCUGAUGCAGCAACGCCGCGUGCGGGAUGACGGCCUUCGGGUUGUAAACCGCUGUCGCCUGUGACGAAGCGUGAGUGACGGUAAUGGGUAAAGAAGCACCGGCUAACUACGUG
This 468-nucleotide ribosomal RNA is filed under the name uncultured bacterium. RNAcentral describes it as "partial 16S ribosomal RNA". The stretch from base 58 to 468 matches the Rfam family "Bacterial small subunit ribosomal RNA", at positions 39 to 507 of the family's 1533-position model. The record is from RNAcentral.